GACGAACGCUGGCGGCGUGCUUAACACAUGCAAGUCGAACGGAAAGGCCCAGCUUGCUGGGUGCUCGAGUGGCGAACGGGUGAGUAACACGUGGGUGAUCUGCCCCUAACUUCGGGAUAAGCUUGGGAAACUGGGUCUAAUACCGGAUAGGACAAUCGUUUAGUGUCGGUUGUGGAAAGUUUUUUCGGUUAGGGAUGAGCCCGCGGCCUAUCAGCUUGUUGGUGGGGUAAUGGCCUACCAAGGCGUCGACGGGUAGCCGGCCUGAGAGGGUGGACGGCCACAUUGGGACUGAGAUACGGCCCAGACUCCUACGGGAGGCAGCAGUGGGGAAUAUUGCACAAUGGGCGCAAGCCUGAUGCAGCGACGCCGCGUGGGGGAUGACGGCCUUCGGGUUGUAAACCUCUUUCGACAGGGACGAAGCGUUGGUGACGGUACCUGGAUAAGAAGCACCGGCUAACUACGUG
This 464-nucleotide ribosomal RNA is filed under the name uncultured bacterium. Its description in RNAcentral is "partial 16S ribosomal RNA". It matches the Rfam family "Bacterial small subunit ribosomal RNA", at positions 28 to 507 of the family's 1533-position model. The record is from RNAcentral.